UUAAGGCCCUCUGGGUUGUAAACACCUUUUACUUCGUGGGAAAGAAAUUGCAGUUUUUCUAAAAUAGCUUGACGGUACCAGAGGAAUAAGCACCGGCUAACUCCGUGC
RNAcentral lists this ribosomal RNA (108 nucleotides) under uncultured bacterium. Its description in RNAcentral is "partial 16S ribosomal RNA". The record is from RNAcentral.